GAUGAACGCUGGCGGCGUGCCUAAUACAUGCAAGUCGAGCGAACAGACGAGGAGCUUGCUCCUCUGACGUUAGCGGCGGACGGGUGAGUAACACGUGGAUAACCUACCUAUAAGACUGGGAUAACUUCGGGAAACCGGAGCUAGUACCGGAUAAUAUAUUGAACCGCAUGGUUCAAUAGUGAAAGACGGUUUUGCUGUCACCUAUAGAUGGAUCCGCGCCGCAUUAGCUAGUUGGUAAGGUAACGGCUUACCAAGGCAACGAUGCGUAGCCGACCUGAGAGGGUGAUCGGCCACACUGGAACUGAGACACGGUCCAGACUCCUACGGGAGGCAGCAGUAGGGAAUCUUCCGCAAUGGGCGAAAGCCUGACGGAGCAACGCCGCGUGAGUGAUGAAGGUCUUCGGAUCGUAAAACUCUGUUAUUAGGGAAGAACAAAUGUGUAAGUAACUAUGCACGUCUUGACGGUACCUAAUCAGAAAGCCACGGCUAACUACGUG
Molecule: ribosomal RNA, 497 nt
Filed under: uncultured bacterium
Lineage: Bacteria
Description: partial 16S ribosomal RNA
Rfam family: Bacterial small subunit ribosomal RNA
Source: RNAcentral